GUGGGGAAUAUUGGACAAUGGGCGAAAGCCUGAUCCAGCAAUGCCGCGUGAGUGAUGAAGGCCCUAGGGUUGUAAAGCUCUUUUACCCGGGAUGAUAAUGACAGUACCGGGAGAAUAAGCUCCGGCUAACUCCGUGCCAGCAGCCGCGGUAAUACGGAGGGAGCUAGCGUUGUUCGGAAUUACUGGGCGUAAAGCGCGCGUAGGCGGUUUUCCAAGUCAGGGGUGAAAGCCCGGGGCUCAACCCCGGAAUAGCCCUUGAAACUGGAAGACUAGAAUCUUGGAGAGGUCAGUGGAAUUCCGAGUGUAGAGGUGAAAUUCGUAGAUAUUCGGAAGAACACCAGUGGCGAAGGCGACUGACUGGACAAGUAUUGACGCUGAGGUGCGAAAGCGUGGGGAGCAAACAGGAUUAGAUACCCUUGUAGUCC
Molecule: ribosomal RNA, 425 nt
Filed under: uncultured bacterium
Lineage: Bacteria
Description: partial 16S ribosomal RNA
Rfam family: Bacterial small subunit ribosomal RNA
Source: RNAcentral